Long non-coding RNA from Phlebotomus papatasi, 1222 nucleotides. RefSeq lists it as uncharacterized. Lineage: Eukaryota; Metazoa; Arthropoda; Insecta; Diptera; Psychodidae. The record is from RefSeq and is a predicted model, not a curated record. The transcript is spliced from 3 exons.
ACCGUUUUUACACUGUAUUUUUUUCGGUACAAAUUAAUACACGAGUUUGCAAAAAAAAGGUAUAAAUAUGAUACAAUUUACCUCUAUUUGUUCGUAUUCUUAAGUUUUUUAAUUAAAAACUUCACGAGCAGUGCGUGAAAUAGUGAAAAUGUGAAAUAAAAAACAAUUUUUACUUCCCGGACACAAAACAUGUGAUUGUGAGGUUAUGUUUCAUUGUUUACAUUUCAUGAAAGUGUUUUGUUGUGAAAAUCUCAGCUAAAAUGGCAGUUUUCAGAGUUAUUAGUGAUAUUUAUUAAAAUAUUUGUGGCCAAAAAUUAUCACAGGGCCGCAUUUAUUUAAAAACGAAUGAAAUCAAGUGCCCUGUGAUGUGUGUAAACGUGUUUUGAUGAUGAUUUACUGGACAGAGUUUUUGGACAAAAAUCACCACAAUACAUCAAUAAAUUACGUCCGCGAAACUAACAAAAAGAUUAGGAAGUGAAAAUAUACUACUUGAAAGUUCCUGGACAUAUUGUUGGUUCAUUUUGAGUGCUCAUCCAAGUGCAAAUAUAGUCCGGAGAGCCUCAAAUUCGAUACUGGAAUAAGCUUCCGGAAGGUGUUUUUAUAAGGAGCCAGAGACGACGGAAAUUUCAGACAGGCCACAGAAGAUGUUCCCAUUGAAGUAACAAAACAGGAAAGAAGUAACGAUGACUCUGGUUUAACCACGUUAGUACCACAGGAGUCAAAAUCAUCGCUGCUGUUGAAGACGUCCGGAAGGAGGAAAUUCAGCAUAGAAGUGUCAGAAUUCGUGGAAAUUAUUCCGCAGGGAUGUUCCGGUGAGAAGAAGGCGAAUGAUUGUCUUCAAUUUUUGGAGGAUUUUGGACAAUUUGUACCCUCCAUUCUUGAUCACGUAAACGUCAUCCAACGUGGUGUAUUUCUUGUUGGACUUCUCACUCGAAGAGACUUCUCAGGGAUGUACAUCUCGUAGAACAGAACCUCCAACAUGAAAGUUUGAAGAAUGUCUUGGAUAUCUAUCUGGAUUUGAUUUGAUCAGCAUUAUUUCUGGCUAAGAUUGUAGACAGUAUCUUUGAGGUCAUACUAAAGUUUGCCUCCUUUAACUGGUUGGGCUGUUGCCUUAUCUAAUGGCUUGUACACACAAAUGAAGGAUCCCAGUAUUUCCUGUGAGUUUUUGAUAUUGGGAUUGAAUAUAAUUCCUCUGCACUCACCCCGCAGUAGAAAAUGCAUC